This 839-nucleotide ribosomal RNA is filed under the name uncultured bacterium. RNAcentral describes it as "bacterial SSU rRNA". It matches the Rfam family "Bacterial small subunit ribosomal RNA", at positions 28 to 863 of the family's 1533-position model. The record is from RNAcentral.
AUUGAACGCUGGCGGCAUGCCUUACACAUGCAAGUCGAACGGCAGCACGGAGCUUGCUCUGGUGGCGAGUGGCGAACGGGUGAGUAAUAUAUCGGAACGUACCCUGGAGUGGGGGAUAACGUAGCGAAAGUCACGCUAAUACCGCAUACGAUCUACGGAUGAAAGUGGGGGAUCGCAAGACCUCAUGCUCGUGGAGCGGCCGAUAUCUGAUUAGCUAGUUGGUAGGGUAAAAGCCUACCAAGGCAUCGAUCAGUAGCUGGUCUGAGAGGACGACCAGCCACACUGGAACUGAGACACGGUCCAGACUCCUACGGGAGGCAGCAGUGGGGAAUUUUGGACAAUGGGCGAAAGCCUGAUCCAGCAAUGCCGCGUGAGUGAAGAAGGCCUUCGGGUUGUAAAGCUCUUUCAGCCGGGAAGAAAACGCAUGGGUUAAUACCCUGUGUGGAUGACGGUACCGGAAUAAGAAGCACCGGCUAACUACGUGCCAGCAGCCGCGGUAAUACGUAGGGUGCAAGCGUUAAUCGGAAUUACUGGGCGUAAAGCGUGCGCAGGCGGUUUUGUAAGUCUGAUGUGAAAUCCCCGGGCUCAACCUGGGAAUUGCAUUGGAGACUGCAAGGCUAGAAUCUGGCAGAGGGGGGUAGAAUUCCACGUGUAGCAGAGAAAUGCGUAGAUAUGUGGAGGAACACCGAUGGCGAAGGCAGCCCCCUGGGUCAAGAUUGACGCUCAUGCACGAAAGCGUGGGGAGCAAACAGGAUUAGAUACCCUGGUAGUCCACGCCCUAAACGAUGUCUACUAGUUGUCGGGUCUUAAUUGACUUGGUAACGCAGCUAACGCGUGAA